AUCCAUAACACAGUCACUUCUUGGACACCAGUCCUCUCCUGUGCUGAUAGGCUCUUGUCGGUAGACAAUCCUGCAUUACCAUCAAGGCUAAGUAUUUUAAGCAGUUCGAGAGGGGUCUGACUCAUUGGCCUCAGCAAUGCACUGAAAAGACCAGUGAUUGGCCGCAGAGGUCACACGUCAACGUGACAUCACUGCUGCAACUGGGAAGACAGAGCCCCGCUGGGGUAACUGGCGCUGUGGCACAGAAUGUGUCAGGUUAAAUCGAUAUACUACCGCAAAGCACAAGGAAAUCCCGCUUCGCUGCAAAUCAAAUUUAUCCUGAAAUUUGGAUCAAAGUGCACUUCAUGGACUUCAAUUCUCUCAUCAUUAGUAAUGACCACUUUAACAGGGACAUGAACUGAGACAGACUGGGCCCUUAUCACCAUCGCUCUCAGAUAAACAGGCUGCACACCUAAAGUUUCAGUGUCCUAUAGCAGUGAACUGUCAGGAUAGCGGUCCACAAUUCUUAGUGUCCAUCAGUGUGGGGGACCGCGGCCCAUCUGACAAUUCACUGCUAUCAGGUGUCAAAGCUGACGAAACAGCAGAGGCUAAGAGGAAGCAACAACCAGCACCAAAGUCCCUGACGGGACCGCUGCAAACAUACAGUUGUAUUUCUCUGAGGAUGAGGCAGGUCCUGUUUAGCUGUUAUACUGUCUCAUGUAUUACAUUUUAGCUGAAUUAAAUGGAUUUGUGUCCUUGGAAUACCUUAAUGUGUUAGUUUGCUUUAAA
This is a long non-coding RNA of Bufo gargarizans (Asiatic toad), 768 nucleotides long. RefSeq lists it as uncharacterized. Lineage: Eukaryota; Metazoa; Chordata; Amphibia; Anura; Bufonidae. The transcript has 3 exons. The record is from RefSeq and is a predicted model, not a curated record.